AAAAUGCGAUACGCAAUGCGAAUUGCAGAACUCCGCGAGUCAUCAGGUCUUCGAACGCAAACCGCGCCGAUGGGGCUUGCUCCAACGGCAUGUCUGCUUCAGUGUGCUAGAUGCCAUCCCACAAACCGAUGCGAUUGAACUCUUCUCUCGCUAAGUGAGGCUUUUUUGCGACGGUCUUCUGGAGCAAUCCAAAAGAUGCAGAACAGCACUUCCUCUCCGGGCAUCUGAAGUCAGGCAAGACCACCCGCUGAACUUAA
This 257-nucleotide unclassified non-coding RNA is filed under the name uncultured fungus. RNAcentral's name for it is "sequence contains ITS1". The stretch from base 1 to 107 matches the Rfam family "5.8S ribosomal RNA", at positions 50 to 154 of the family's 154-position model. Lineage: Eukaryota; Fungi. The record is from RNAcentral.